Zophobas morio is the source of this 639-nucleotide long non-coding RNA. RefSeq lists it as uncharacterized. The transcript is spliced from 5 exons. NCBI's taxonomy places the organism in Eukaryota, Metazoa, Arthropoda, Insecta, Coleoptera, Tenebrionidae. The record is from RefSeq and is a predicted model, not a curated record.
UGUAAAUGUUAAGGGGGACUAAUUACACGAACUACUCUAUUAAAAAACGAAGAACUUUUUCUUAUAAUUAUGAUCAAGCUGCUAUAGUAGACUAUCUCGCCGAAACUUAUAACAUUUAUACUCUUACGGACUUACUCUGCUGGAAAGCUUUAGAAAACUUUGACGAAUAUUUUAAAGAUGAAGUCCAAUUUUCUUUUAAGCAAAGACAGCUCGUCCGUAACAUUAAAAGAUUUAUUGAAGAUGUAUGUGAAGUUGAGAGCGAAACAGUAGUGCGAGGCCUCGAUUAUGUUAACAAUUUUAACACCCAUCGACCUCUUUCCACCGGAUUAAUAAAACUUGAUGAAGAGCUUAACGGUGGACUCUUCGAUUGUGAAGUUACUGAACUUGCCGGUUCUUCUGGUUCUGGAAAAACUCAGUUCUGCUUAUCUUGCGUACUUGAGAAUGCUUCCAACCUGAAAGCUGCCAUUUAUAUAGACACGGAAAAUAACUUUUCAGCUACACAAAUGUACAACAUAAGUCAAGCUAAAGGAAAUGUAGAAGACACGGUAUUAAACGAUUAUGUUCGCUGCCUUCGAGUUUAUAAUAUUUACGAUCUUUUUAACGACUUACAAGAAAUUUGGAAAAUUCUUGAAAAUCCUA